GACGAACGCUGGCGGCGUGCUUAACACAUGCAAGUCGAACGGAAAGGCCCUGCUUGCAGGGUACUCGAGUGGCGAACGGGUGAGUAACACGUGGGUUAUCUGCCCUGCACUUCGGGAUAAGCCUGGGAAACUGGGUCUAAUACCGGAUAGGAGCCAUUUUUAGUGUGAUGGUUGGAAAGUUUUUUCGGUGUAGGAUGAGCUCGCGGCUUAUCAGCUUGUUGGUGGGGUAAUGGCCUACCAAGGCGGCGACGGGUAGCCGGCCUGAGAGGGUGGACAGCCACAUUGGGACUGAGAUACGGCCCAGACUCCUACGGGAGGCAGCAGUGGGGAAUAUUGCACAAGGGGCGCAAGCCUGAUGCAGCGACGCCGCGUGGGGGAGGACGGCCUUCGGGUUGUAAACUCCUUUCGCUAGGGACGAAGCUUUUUGUGACGGUACCUAGAUAAGAAGCACCGGCUAACUACGUG
Molecule: ribosomal RNA, 465 nt
Filed under: uncultured bacterium
Lineage: Bacteria
Description: partial 16S ribosomal RNA
Rfam family: Bacterial small subunit ribosomal RNA
Source: RNAcentral